Molecule: ribosomal RNA, 370 nt
Filed under: uncultured organism
Description: bacterial SSU rRNA
Rfam family: Bacterial small subunit ribosomal RNA
Source: RNAcentral
CAGAGGGUGCGAGCGUUAAUCGGAAUUACUGGGCGUAAAGGGUGCGUAGGUGGUUUUGUAAGUAACAUGUGAAAGUCCUGGGCUUAACCUGGGGACUGCGUGUUAAACUGCAGAGCUAGAGUGUUGUAGAGGAUAGCGGAAUUUCCGGUGUAGCGGUGAAAUGCGUAGAUAUCGGAAGGAACAUCAGUGGCGAAGGCGGCUAUCUGGACAACAACUGACACUGAGGCACGAAAGCGUGGGGAGCAAACAGGAUUAGAUACCCUGGUAGUCCACGCUGUAAACGAUGAUAACUGGUUGUUGGAUGCGAGAGCAUUUAGUAACGAAGCAAACGCGUUAAGUUAGCCGCCUGGGGAGUACGGCCGCAAGGUUA